GAACGCACAUUGCGCCCGCCAGUAUUCUGGCGGGCAUGCCUGUCCGAGCGUCAUUUCAACCCUCGAACCCCUCCGGGGGGUCGGCGUUGGGGAUCGGCCCUUUACCGGCCGGCCCCGAAAUACAGUGGCGGUCUCGCCGCAGCCUCUCCUGCGCAGUAGUUUGCACACUCGCACCGGGAGCGCGGCGCAGUCCAAUGCCGUAAAACACCCAACUUUCUGAAAUGUUGACCUCGGAUCAGGUAGGAAUACCCGCUGAACUUAAG
This 263-nucleotide unclassified non-coding RNA is filed under the name Trichoderma spirale. Its description in RNAcentral is "sequence contains 5.8S rRNA gene". The stretch from base 1 to 53 matches the Rfam family "5.8S ribosomal RNA", at positions 102 to 154 of the family's 154-position model. Lineage: Eukaryota; Fungi; Ascomycota; Sordariomycetes; Hypocreales; Hypocreaceae. The record is from RNAcentral.